AUGGUUAAGGAGAAGACGGCGGCGCUGGAGCGCGCGAAGAAGGCGUCGGCGACGGAGAAGGCGAAGGGGAGAUCCACCAGCCGCGGUGGGUCUUCGUCCAGAUCCCGCCCGCCGAAAGGCUGGGUCCAGGGAGAUUGGAUCCAGUCGACCAUCACGGAGAAGGACCUCCUCGACAUGGCCAACGAGGGCUUGAUCCCCCAUGGAGCUGCGAGGCUUUCGGGGAAAGAAUGGCAGCCCCAGCCGGAAGAGGGUGAGUGCGUGCUUCUGGCUACCCAUGUCGACCGCGGAUUCUCUUUGCCGCCGAGCGUUUUCUUCCGUGGUUUCUUGAACUUUUUUGGAGCGCAACUCCACCACUUCACCCCGAAUUCUAUCGCCUAUCUUGCCGCGUUUGUGUCCAUGUGCGAGAGUAUUCUGGGCUGUCGACCGCACUGGGGCUUGUUCAAGCACAUAUUCACAUGUCGCUCUCAAACUGUGAAGAAGGCGAGUCCAGGCGACGAAAGAACCCGAGUGGUCCAAAUGUGUGGAGGUCUGGGGAUCCAGGUGAGAAACAAGAGCACCUUCCCAGCUAUGACAUUUCCCGAGUCAGUCAGAGGCUGGCAGUCGACCUGGUUGUACUGCCACGACGAGUCGACACCGGGGCAGUCGAGUGGGCUCCCUCCAUUUACCAUGGACCGAGUGAACAAGCCCUCCUCCCUGAAGCUGAUUCCGGAGGAGAAAGCUGACGUGAAGAUGUUGAUGGAGCGCGUAGUUCAGUUGGUUCGAUAG
Molecule: ribosomal RNA, 765 nt
Filed under: Triticum aestivum (bread wheat)
Lineage: Eukaryota; Viridiplantae; Streptophyta; Magnoliopsida; Poales; Poaceae
Description: partial small subunit ribosomal RNA
Source: RNAcentral